Molecule: ribosomal RNA, 377 nt
Filed under: uncultured eukaryote
Lineage: Eukaryota
Description: partial 18S ribosomal RNA
Rfam family: Eukaryotic small subunit ribosomal RNA
Source: RNAcentral
CAAUAGCGUAUAUUUAAGUUGCUGCAGUUAAAAAGCUCGUAGUUGGAUUUCGGGUGGGAAUGGCCGGUCCGCCGUUUCGGUGUGCACUUGCUACGCCCACCUUGCUGCCGGGGACGUGCUCUUGAGUUCACGCUCGGGACACGGAGUCGGCGAGGUUACUUUGAGUAAAUUAGAGUGUUCAAAGCAGGCCUACGCUCUGAAUACAUUAGCAUGGAAUAACACGAUAGGACUCUGGCCUAUCUUGUUGGUCUGUAGGACCGGAGUAAUGAUUAAGAGGGACAGUCGGGGGCAUUCGUAUUCCGUUGUCAGAGGUGAAAUUCUUGGAUUUACGGAAGACGAACAUCUGCGAAAGCAUUUGCCAAGGAUGUUUUCAUUAA